Molecule: long non-coding RNA, 840 nt
Filed under: Cricetulus griseus (Chinese hamster)
Lineage: Eukaryota; Metazoa; Chordata; Mammalia; Rodentia; Cricetidae
Description: lncRNA (ENSCGRG00015034581.1)
Source: RNAcentral
CUGGAGUCAAAGGGUGAGCUGUCAUGUAGGUGCUGGGAACCAAACCCAGGUCCUCUGGAAGAGCAGUCAGCUAUCUUCUCCCACUUCUGGGCCACAGCCACAGAGGCCAUGGAGUUGGUGGCCAGAGACUCUGGCCCCCUCCUAUCUGCAGUCACCUGGACACAGGCGAUCAUCUUGCCAUUCUAGGCUGCCACUCUCCCCCUCAUCCUGUAGGACCAAUACUCAUCCUGCUGCAGGAUACUGCUCUACGUUCCAGCAGUGUGGUGAUCAUCACCUCACGGGGCAUCAUCAGGAGCAUACACCCUCUUCAGCCUGAUGCCCAGGCCACUGUGGACAUCACAGCACAGGCAGCCCUGGGGACCACAACUCAAGUGAUGUCAUUAAAAGGCCCUCCCACCUCUCAGAGAGUGGAUACCACAGGCCAAUGUUGGCUCUACAUGGAAAUCCCUCACACCCUUCUCUCUCCUCACCUCUUACACACCCCUUUUCCUAGCUCAGGAGCCUGUUGCCUAGGUGAUGCUUGGUUGGUUUCUGUGAUGAUGACAUCCUGUUACCCCAGGAAGCAUGGUUGAUAGCAUGCUGUCUGAGUGAUGACCUACUGAAGCUCUGCCCCUCACCAAGUCAGUUCAUGUGACUCCUUGAGCAUCUGUGUUCUCUGAGACCACAAACCCCAGAUAAUGGGUAAAAGAAAACCCACCUGGUCUUGGGGCACCCCUUCAUCAGUUCUUCCUCCAGCACCCCAAUGGCUGCCAGCCAACUCAUAGCUCAUCUCCUUCUCACAUCCGUCCCUUCUCCUCUUCUCUCUCCUCCCUCCCUCCUAAACUCUUCUCAGCUCUGGGA